This 693-nucleotide ribosomal RNA is filed under the name uncultured bacterium. Its description in RNAcentral is "bacterial SSU rRNA". It matches the Rfam family "Bacterial small subunit ribosomal RNA", at positions 32 to 715 of the family's 1533-position model. The record is from RNAcentral.
AACGCUAGCUACAGGCUUAACACAUGCAAGUCGAGGGGCAGCAUGAACUUAGCUUGCUAAGUUUGAUGGCGACCGGCGCACGGGUGAGUAACACGUAUCCAACCUGCCGAUGACUCGGGGAUAGCCUUUCGAAAGAAAGAUUAAUACCCGAUGGCAUAGUUCUUCCGCAUGGUAGAACUAUUAAAGAAUUUCGGUCAUCGAUGGGGAUGCGUUCCAUUAGGUUGUUGGCGGGGUAACGGCCCACCAAGCCUUCGAUGGAUAGGGGUUCUGAGAGGAAGGUCCCCCACAUUGGAACUGAGACACGGUCCAAACUCCUACGGGAGGCAGCAGUGAGGAAUAUUGGUCAAUGGACGAGAGUCUGAACCAGCCAAGUAGCGUGAAGGAUGACUGCCCUAUGGGUUGUAAACUUCUUUUAUACGGGAAUAAAGUGAGGCACGUGUGCCUUUUUGUAUGUACCGUAUGAAUAAGGAUCGGCUAACUCCGUGCCAGCAGCCGCGGUAAUACGGAGGAUCCGAGCGUUAUCCGGAUUUAUUGGGUUUAAAGGGAGCGUAGGCGGACGCUUAAGUCAGUUGUGAAAGUUUGCGGCUCAACCGUAAAAUUGCAGUUGAUACUGGGUGUCUUGAGUAUAGUAGAGGCAGGCGGAAUUCGUGGUGUAGCGGUGAAAUGCUUAGAUAUCACGAAGAACUCCGAUUG